This 18-nucleotide microRNA is filed under the name Echinococcus multilocularis. Its description in RNAcentral is "emu-miR-281-5p". Its record names the gene emu-miR-281-5p. The record is from miRBase by way of RNAcentral. Lineage: Eukaryota; Metazoa; Platyhelminthes; Cestoda; Cyclophyllidea; Taeniidae.
AGGGCCCUUUAUGACCCU